GCGCUACACUGAUGCAUUCAACAAGCCUAUCCUUGACCGAAGGGUCUGGGUAAUCUUUGAAACUGCAUCGUGAUGGGGAUAGAUUAUUGCAAUUAUUAGUCUUCAACGAGGAAUGCCUAGUAAGCGCAAGUCAUCAGCUUGCGUUGAUUACGUCCCUGCCCUUUGUACACACCGCCCGUCGCUCCUACCGAUUGGGUGUGCUGGUGAAGUGUUCGGAUUGGCAGCUUAGGGUGGCAACACCUCAGGUCUGCCGAGAAGUUCAUUAAACCCUCCCACCUAGAGGAAGGAGAAGUCGUAACAAGGUUUCCGUAGGUGAACCUGCGGAAGGAUCAUUGAAUUAUUAAAACCACAAUGCGAACCUAUCUGUUCCGUGCCUUAGCUGCCAGCAAGGCAAUUGGCUUGCCCAAUUGUACUUGCAAGCUGGUGCGAGUAAUUUGAUUACUUGCAUCAGUGGCGCUUUGGCAUGCUUAUACACCAGUGCUAACCACUGUCAAAACCAAACUCUGAAGCUUUGAUUGCUAUUAACUGGCAAUCUUAACCAAAGACAACUCUCAACAACGGAUAUCUUGGCUCUCGCAACGAUGAAGAACGCAGCGAAAUGCGAUACGUAGUGUGAAUUGCAGAAUUCCGUGAACCAUCGAAUCUUUGAACGCAUAUUGCGCUCGAGCCCUCGGGCAAGAGCAUGUCUGCCUCAGCGUCGGUUUAUACCCUCACCCCUCUCUCCUUUUGGAGGGCUGGUCAGCUUCUAGUUGGCCUCAGGGAUGGAUCUGGCUUUCCCAAUUGGUUCACUCCGAUUGGGUUGGCUGAAGCUUAGAGGCUUAAGCAAGGACCCGAUAUGGGCUUCAACUGGAUAGGUAGCACCGGCUUCUGCCGACUACACGAAGUUGUGGCUUGUGGACUUUGCUAGAGGCCAAGCAGGAAACAUGCUUUGCAUGUCUUAAACUUUCGACCUGAGCUCAGGCAAGGCUACCCGCUGAACUUAAGCAUAUCAAUAAGCGGAGGAAAAGAAACUAACUAGGAUGCGCUUAGUAACGGCGAGCGAACCGCGCAAAGCCCAACUUGAAAAUCUCCCUUGGAGAAUUGUAGUCUAUAGAAGUACCCUCUGUAACGGGCGCAGCUCAAGUCUCCUGGAAAGGGGCGUCAGAGAGGGUGAGAACCCCGUAAGCUGUUGCUUUGUUGCCUCACGAGGUGCUUUCAAAGAGUCGGGUUGCUUGGGAAUGCAGCCCAAAUUUGGUGGUAAAUC
This 1243-nucleotide ribosomal RNA is filed under the name Tetradesmus obliquus. Its description in RNAcentral is "eukaryotic LSU rRNA". The stretch from base 1 to 335 matches the Rfam family "Eukaryotic small subunit ribosomal RNA", at positions 1495 to 1831 of the family's 1831-position model. The record is from RNAcentral. Lineage: Eukaryota; Viridiplantae; Chlorophyta; Chlorophyceae; Sphaeropleales; Scenedesmaceae.